RNAcentral lists this microRNA precursor (75 nucleotides) under Haemonchus placei. RNAcentral's name for it is "mir-5928 microRNA precursor family". It matches the Rfam family "mir-5928 microRNA precursor family". Lineage: Eukaryota; Metazoa; Nematoda; Chromadorea; Rhabditida; Trichostrongylidae. The record is from Rfam by way of RNAcentral.
GGCCCAAGUUUGAAGUAGAGUAGAUUAGAAGGAUCAUAUGACCCUAAUGAAGUACUCUACUUCGAGUUUGUGCCC